RNAcentral lists this unclassified non-coding RNA (1432 nucleotides) under Hevea brasiliensis (rubber tree). The record is from RNAcentral. Lineage: Eukaryota; Viridiplantae; Streptophyta; Magnoliopsida; Malpighiales; Euphorbiaceae.
GGUUCACACAUUAGAGAUAAGCUCGGAGGAGGAUAAUACAAAGGCUUUUCUUAUGCUCAAUGAGAUCAUACUGACUUUAAAGGAUGCAAAGGAUGAAGCUAGAAAAGUGGCUUAUGAUACAAUCCUCAUGAUAAGUUCUGCCUUCAGAAACUCAUCAGAUGCGGGUUCUGGUGAAGCUUAUCACAAACUGAUCAGCAUGAUAAUGGGUUAUCUUUCGGGUCCGUCUCCUCACAUAAAGAGUGGAGCAGUUUCUGCACUGUCUCUACUGGUGUACAAUGAUGUAGACAUCUGUCUUAAGAUCCCUGAUCUUGUUCCCUCUUAUCUCUGCUGCAAAGCAAAGCUGUGGAAGUCACAAAAGCUAUUUUGGGUUUUGUGAAAGUACUAGUAUCAUCCUUGCAAGCUAAAGACCUGCAAAAUCUUCUAUCAGACAUCACCAGUGGAGUUCUCUUGUGGUCAUCUAUCUCUAGAUUUCAUUUUAGAUCUAAGGUGACAGUCAUAAUGGAGAUCAUGAUGCGGAAGUGUGGUUUUGCUGCAGUUGAGUUAGUUACACCGGACAAGUACAAGGGUUUUGUCAAGACUGUUUUGCAGAAUCGUCAUCAUAAGUCUACUUCCAAGGAAGCUGGAUCAAAUGAUAUAGAAACAAUGCCUGCAGAUUCAUCUGGCAAGAGGAUGAAUAAGCAGAACAAAGAAUCAGGUUCUGUGGCUAAGGAGAAUGGUUCAGUGCAUCAUAGGAAGAGAAAGAGAGAAAAUAAGGAAAAUUGGAGCCCUCCUUCCUUGAGGGAGCCUCAUAUACCAAGCGGUGAUGGCCGUGUACCUAAAGGAAGCAAGAAAGCUAGGCACUCUGAAUAUCAAAAAUCAACAAAGGGUCAGUCAGCAGAAAAUAAGAAGAGGAGGAAGUUUGUUAAAGAGUUCACAAGUGGUGGGAACAAAAAGAUGAAAUGGAGGAACACGAGCAAGAAAGGUGAAACAGCAUUUAAUAGACCUGCGACUACCUCCAAAGUACACAAACACAAUAAAUUUGGGAAGAAACAAAAAAACUAGUGAUUCAUACAGCACUCCAUGUACCUGGAUCUGCUUCGAAUUGUACAAAUGCAGUAAGGAGUUUGGAAAGAAGCAGAACGUGAGACUGACCUAUCGUGAAAUGAAGACAGCCAGUUGCUUAUACAUCUUUGAAAUGAAUUUUGUGAAGUCUCACCUGAAACUGCCGUAUGGCCAGAGAGUUUUUUUCGGGGAGAAGUAUUUGAAGUUCAGUUUAAGCUUAUGUUUUUGUCAGAGAGCUCUGUAUUUGUAGAAUCAUGGACAUGAAAUAUCAGCAACAGUCGUCUCCUUGAAACAAAAUGAGGACUGCAGGAUUUUUCGAAUUUCCAAAGCAGCAGUUGGCUAUAUGUAUGAUUGUGUACAAAUCAAAUACACUGGAAAAUUGUAGUGUCCC